This 460-nucleotide ribosomal RNA is filed under the name uncultured bacterium. Its description in RNAcentral is "partial 16S ribosomal RNA". It matches the Rfam family "Bacterial small subunit ribosomal RNA", at positions 338 to 795 of the family's 1533-position model. The record is from RNAcentral.
CCUACGGGAGGCAGCAGUGAGGAAUAUUGGUCAAUGGACGAGAGUCUGAACCAGCCAAGUAGCGUGAAUGAUGACUGCCCUAUGGGUUGUAAACUUCUUUUAUAUGGGAAUAAAAUGUUCCACGUGUGUGAUUUUGUCUGUACCAUAUGAAUACGGAUCGGCUAACUCUGUGCCAGCAGCCGCGGUAAUACGGAGGAUCCGAGCGUUAUCCGGAUUUAUUGGGUUUAAAGGGAGCGUAGGUGGAUUGUUAAGCCAGUUGUGAAAGUUUGCGGCUCAACCGUAAAAUUGCAGUUGAAACUGGCAGUCUUGAGUACAGGAGAGGUAGGCGGAAUUCGUGGUGUAGCGGUGAAAUGCUUAGAUAUCACGAAGAACUCCGAUUGCGAAGGCAGUUCACUGGACUGCAACUGACACUGAGGCUCGAAAGUGUGGGUAUCAAACAGGAUUAGAUACCCGAGUAGUC